UCCCUUGUGGCUUAGCUGGUAAAGAAUCCACCUGCAAUGUGGGAGACCUGGGUUCAAUUCCUGGGUUGGGAA
RNAcentral lists this transfer RNA (72 nucleotides) under Bos taurus (domestic cattle). It matches the Rfam family "tRNA". From Rfam's summary of the family: Transfer RNA (tRNA) molecules are approximately 80 nucleotides in length. Their secondary structure includes four short double-helical elements and three loops (D, anti-codon, and T loops). RNAcentral also lists the same sequence under 5 other names. The record is from Rfam by way of RNAcentral. Lineage: Eukaryota; Metazoa; Chordata; Mammalia; Artiodactyla; Bovidae.